UAUGGUCAUAUCACCCUGAAUAGCCCUAAUUUUGGAAGCUAAGCAGGGUCAGGCGUGAUUAGUACCUGGAUGGGAAACUACCUGCUGGGAAUACAACGUGUGACCACCU
Gopherus agassizii (Agassiz's desert tortoise) is the source of this 109-nucleotide ribosomal RNA. The record is from Ensembl. Lineage: Eukaryota; Metazoa; Chordata; Testudines; Testudinidae.